CAGCAGCCGCGGGAAUACGGAGGGUGCAAGCGUUAAUCGGAAUUACUGGGCGUAAAGCGCACGCAGGCGGUUUGUUAAGUCAGAUGUGAAAUCCCCGAGCUUAACUUGGGAACUGCAUUUGAAACUGGCAAGCUAGAGUCUUGUGGAGGGGGGUAGAAUUCCAGGUGUAGCGGUGAAAUGCGUAGAGAUCUGGAGGAAUACCGGUGGCGAAGGCGGCCCCCUGGACAAAGACUGACGCUCAGGUGCGAAAGCGUGGGGAGCAAACAGGAUUAGAUACCCCAGUAGUCCCUGUCUCUUAUAC
This 301-nucleotide ribosomal RNA is filed under the name uncultured bacterium. Its description in RNAcentral is "partial 16S ribosomal RNA". It matches the Rfam family "Bacterial small subunit ribosomal RNA", at positions 509 to 807 of the family's 1533-position model. The record is from RNAcentral.